Long non-coding RNA from Zea mays, 2848 nucleotides. RefSeq lists it as uncharacterized. NCBI's taxonomy places the organism in Eukaryota, Viridiplantae, Streptophyta, Magnoliopsida, Poales, Poaceae. The record is from RefSeq and is a predicted model, not a curated record. The transcript is spliced from 2 exons.
AACAAGUAUGCAUUUUCUCAUAUUUUGCAACAUUCAAUUUCAGCUAUGGUAGUAAUUAAUCUUGAGUUGAUUAGGUCACUUUUCUUCAUUAUAACCUUUACUGCAUUAUACUCUUUGUUUAUAGUAUUUAUACAGCAAUUUAUGCUUCACAUAGGUUGUGCAACCUGUGCAAUCAUCCAUCUCAGUCCACCAGUCAGCUACCCAACAAACAAUUUUGCCUCAAUUUGUUGAGCCGUUGGCACGAAGGGUGUGGCCUCUGUGCGGUGAUCCCUUGACCAUGUCGAUUCUGGUGAGCCCUUGACCAUGUUGAUUCUAUAAUAGGACUGUUAAUUUUUAUUUCGCCUCUAGCACGAUGACUAUUGGAGUGAUCUAACACACCUCUUUUUUGUGCAUGUUGACCGUGUGAGGAACACAUUGGAGGAAUUAAGAAGGAGCUCAUGAAUCUGACCGUACUGGCCAUAGUUAGGCAAGCAAUCGACCCUAUGGUGAAGUUACUAGAAAGCACAUAUGUUGGACGCUUAUUAGAUAAGUUUUCCCUUCCACUGCUCGGCAUAUGUUUGACACAAGUGUAUUGGUUGUCUUCAGUUGUCUCAUUUAUUCACUCCAUGGUACAAUGCUUCAAUUUAUUCAUUGCUAAACAUAUGGAGUAGUGGUUGCCUUGUUAUGCGUAUUGAUUGGAUUAAACUUUAUAAGAUAGUAUCUGUCAAUGAUAAAUACCUUUAUCUGUAUGAAACCAUGAGCAAUCAGAUGUUAUACAAAAUUCUUAUGGAUUAAAGUGUUAAAUGUGAAUCUAACAUAAAGUGGACACAUUACUAAAUUACUCUUUUACUGAACUUAUUUCGAAGCCAAAAUUAGAAAUUCAAUCUUCCAUCACUUGAGUAUGUGUGUCCUUAGAUGACAAAGUGAAGCUCUUCUCUGUACAACUUUCAUCAGGUAUUGCAAGCAUAUCCAUGGUUUUGGUGCCUUUAGGAAUCAAUGCAGUGUCACUUGGAUACUCUUUUUUGUCCCUAGGAAAGGGCAUUGCUAAACAUAUGGAGUAGUGGGCGCUUUGUUAUGAGCAUUGAUUGGUUUAAAAUUUAUAAGAUAGUAUCUAUGAAUGAUAAAUACCAUUAUCUGUAUGAAACCAUGAGCAAUCUCAGAUGUUAUACGAAAUUCUUAUGGAUUAAAGUAUUAAAUAUGAAUCUUGCAUAAAAUGGACAUAAUACUAAAUUACUCCUGUACCGAACUUAUUUCGAAGCCAAAAUUAGAAAUUCAAUCUUCCAUCGCAUGAUUUCAUUUAAUAAAAAUUCAAGACCAUAAUAUGUGCACACUCAUGCAAUGGCAUUCCUCCAUAUACAAUGCCUCGGUUUUCCUCCCUGCAGUCUGUGCCCACCUCAUCGAGUUUCAGCUGUCUUCUCAUGCUGCGUUGACUUUGCUCAAGCAGCGGAGGAGGAGAGGAUGAGGAAGGAGUUCGAGGUAGAGGGUAGGACUCUAGCCCAAAAGGAGAAAUCAGAGGCAAUUGACUCCAAUGUCAUUACUCCAGAGACGCAAACACGCAGUUCGUGUUUGUACUAUAUACGAAACUUUAGUACUACAUACAGUUCAGACUUAAACACACGCUUGGAUGGCAGUUUAUCAAGGUGUUUACUAGAUUUAUAAAAUUAUUCUCAAUCAUAGUUAGUUACUAACCGAUAUGUUGUGUGUAUUCUUCAAGAAAUAUUGUCUGAUUCCAAUGUCCUUGAAAAGAGAGAGCACAAAAAUUUGUCAUACAUCUGCCUGCAGCGCAAUCUUCCUCACUACACCAAAAUGCUUAACUUCCUAGGGCCUAAACCGUAGGAAGUUAGCUCAAAACUCUUAGAAGUUAUACAAACCGUCGGAAGUUAGCCGAAACCGUCGGAAGUUAGCCCGUCGGAACAAAUUGGUCGGAAGUUAGGCUAACUUCCGACGGGCUCUCGGAAGUUAAGGAAACUUCCGAGAGGGCCGUCCGCCUCUCAGAAGUUAAUGAUUAACUUCCGAGAGGGCGCUUCCCUCUCGGAAGUUAAGUGCUGACGCCGUCCAGCACGGGCUAACGCCGUCCAGGCCUGGCUUUGAUCCCAAUACACGACAUUGCUUUUAUGGCCUGGUAAGUUUACCUCAUUUUAAAAUCACUAGCGGUUUCUGUUUAAGCUAAAUCUGUGUUACACCUUACCCACUCUAUUUUCCAAGACACUGAAUUGAUUAUUAUUUCUCUAGCAACUAAUGAGGUUCACUUCUCAAAUUUAAGAGAGGUAAAACUUCUUAUUGGUCUUUGUUGGAAAGUAUAUUUAUACACAUCUAGCUAUGUCCAAGUUCUGGACCCGAAUUUUGUCCUAUUCAUGGUAAAUUAGGAGUAAUCCCAUAAUUACAUAAUUCAACUAAUUUACAUGUGUUCUCCAUGCCAGGGCAACCAGUGGUCAAGUUGCGCAUUUGGUUCGGUGGGACCUUCGCCCGUCCUGCAUGUUAUGGGACUCUCAAAAACUUGCACUUUCCAUUACUUGUACAGAGUCUAACAGAUGGCCUUACUGCUGAUACACGAUAACUGUUUAUAUCGCGGUCGGGGUUUCAAGACUAUGGAUAGCUUCAUGCUCAUUGUAUUUUUAGGUUGUCAAGCCUGUCAAUUAGAUCCAAAGCAUUGUUCCUAUCAAUCUCGAAGUAAAUAACUGGAAGCAUGGAAGACCUCCUAACUGGGAGCAAGUCUUUCCUGUUGCCACUGGCUGGGUAGUGGUUGUUGCUCUUGCUCAACCUACUUUGUUUGUUGUAACUUGACUGUGUUAAACUCUUGACUUUUGCUUAUUUCUAGGACUCCUGUACUUAACAUCCCUUAUCAUAUCCUGAUUCUCUUGGGUGAGAA